This is a long non-coding RNA of Phalaenopsis equestris, 328 nucleotides long. RefSeq lists it as uncharacterized. NCBI's taxonomy places the organism in Eukaryota, Viridiplantae, Streptophyta, Magnoliopsida, Asparagales, Orchidaceae. The record is from RefSeq and is a predicted model, not a curated record. The transcript has 2 exons.
UGUUUACGAGGGAUUCCUCGAAAAGUUGGCGGUCUGCUGGAUCUGGAGGAAGCUCUCUGCUGACCACCAAAGAAACUUCAGCCAAUAUAGUUUUAUUGGACUAUAUAUCUACUGAGAAGUGGAAUGAAGUCGUGGACUUUGAUGAUCAUCUUGAUGACAUUAGCAAGGACUGGCUGAAUCCCAAUCUCUUCAAGUAGGCUUAUGGUUAUGUCUGGAACCCUCUGGUGAUCUUCUUUUAUCGAAUUGCUUCUAUGUUGGACGGUUGUAUUCUGAAUAGUAAAGUGAUUAUAAGUUGCAGCUAAUAAGAUUUUAUUUUGAUUUAUUUUCC